CCAGACUCCUACGGGAGGCAGCAGUGGGGAAUAUUGCACAAUGGGGGAAACCCUGAUGCAGCGACGCCGCGUGAGUGAAGAAGUAUUUCGGUAUGUAAAGCUCUAUCAGCAGGGAAGAAAAAAGACGGUACCUGACUAAGAAGCCCCGGCUAACUACGUGCCAGCAGCCGCGGUAAUACGUAGGGGGCAAGCGUUAUCCGGAUUUACUGGGUGUAAAGGGAGCGUAGACGGAGAAGCAAGUCUGAAGUGAAAGCCCGUGGCUUAACCACGGGACUGCUUUGGAAACUGUAUGGCUGGAGUGCUGGAGAGGUAAGCGGAAUUCCUAGUGUAGCGGUGAAAUGCGUAGAUAUUAGGAGGAACACCAGUGGCGAAGGCGGCUUACUGGACAGUAACUGACGUUGAGGCUCGAAAGCGUGGGGAGCAAACAGGAUUAGAUACCCCAGUAUU
This 447-nucleotide ribosomal RNA is filed under the name uncultured bacterium. RNAcentral describes it as "bacterial SSU rRNA". It matches the Rfam family "Bacterial small subunit ribosomal RNA", at positions 331 to 794 of the family's 1533-position model. The record is from RNAcentral.